Molecule: long non-coding RNA, 390 nt
Organism: Zonotrichia leucophrys gambelii
Lineage: Eukaryota; Metazoa; Chordata; Aves; Passeriformes; Passerellidae
Exons: 4
Source: RefSeq, a predicted model, not a curated record
CUGCACUGGCAUGUGGAGGACCAGUGCCUGGCUAGUGCUGCCAAAGAAGAAGCUAUUCAGAAGAGCAAGCAGCGUGUGAGAGCGGUGCCCAGCUCCUCAAGAGCUCUACCCCACACCCAGCAGAGAAAAAGGAGGCGUUUGUGGCUGGUGGUGUCCCCAGGACUGGAGCUGUCAUUGCAUAGCUGUCCACUCUCCCCCUGAGGAAGCAGGUGGAGUUAAAGAGGACACCCACAAACUAGCUCUGUUCUCUGGAUGUGCCUGAAGCACAUUCAAAAUGCCGGAUGUCCAGGCAUAUGUCCAGUCACAUUCACUUCUGGCUGGAAUUGUGAUCCAGAACAGUGUUUACUCGUGAAAAUGAAGCAGGACAGCCUCUCUGAUUACUGCUGAGAG